CCUACGGGAGGCAGCAGUGGGGAAUAUUGCACAAUGGGGGAAACCCUGAUGCAGCGACGCCGCGUGAGUGAAGAAGUAAUUCGUUACGUAAAGCUCUAUCAGCAGGGAAGAAAUACUGACCUUACGGUCAGCAGACGGUACCUGAGUAAGAAGCCCCGGCUAACUACGUGCCAGCAGCCGCGGUAAUACGUAGGGGGCAAGCGUUAUCCGGAUUUACUGGGUGUAAAGGGAGCGUAGACGGCGGUGCAAGUCUGAAGUGAAAGCCCAGGGCUCAACCCUGGGACUGCUUUGGAAACUGUGGAGCUAGAGUGCUGGAGAGGUAAGUGGAAUUCCUAGUGUAGCGGUGAAAUGCGUAGAUAUUAGGAGGAACACCAGUGGCGAAGGCGGCUUACUGGACAGUAACUGACGUUGAGGCUCGAAAGCGUGGGGAGCAAACAGGAUUAGAUACCCUAGUAGUC
This 458-nucleotide ribosomal RNA is filed under the name uncultured bacterium. RNAcentral describes it as "partial 16S ribosomal RNA". It matches the Rfam family "Bacterial small subunit ribosomal RNA", at positions 338 to 795 of the family's 1533-position model. The record is from RNAcentral.